CUGUACCAAAGACCCCUCAUUCAGCAGAUGCUUUCUGCAAAUUCAAGAUCUAAAAUGCAUGAUUAAGUACUAUAUUAAACAGAAAGGUAAAGAUUUUGGUACCAAGGUGAGGGAGAGCUUGGAUUAUGUUCGAUUGGGCAACACUAUGCACCCUGAGCAAGCCAGCUGGUUAUAAUGAUGUUGCCACCAAAUGGGAUGUUAACUGAAAUACCCCACCUUAGCCUAACAGUGCUGUGAUUGUGUUGGCCACAUUACCACUUACCUGUGUUCAGCACUAGAAAUAUAAUCACAAUGUUUCAGUUUACCGUUUUGGUAUGAAAGUGCUAUUCAUUAAUGAAAGGAUGAAUUGAGACGUGUUUGUGGUGAGCCCAGUGCACUUUGCAAGUACUUUGUGAAUGAAUGAAACCUGCUGUUUUACUCAUUUUAGGUUAACCUGUUACUCCCCAUACUGAGUACCAAAGGAAGUCUGCUCAAGUGGAGAUGCAGUGUGUCUUUAUUUUCUUGACAGAGGAGCUGCACACUGAAAUGUUUGUCUGGAUUCCUGCAGCCAGGAAGACUCCUAACAUCCAGACCCACUUGUGCUGCAAUGUAGGCAGUGUAGUGCACCUGCCUCAAAGCCUCACAUUUAGGCCCAGAGAGAAGCAUAAACGAGUACUUGCUGCUUCAACAAGAUGAGUCAGAUGCACAAAGACAGAUUUCUUCUGGCUUCCUCUGCCCUUAAAAACAAGAAGAUUGCUCUGAUCAGACUUCACAGAUCACUUUAAAAUGACAAGAAGCAUGCAAUGCAUAUAAAAACAUCAAUAAGGAGAUGAAGCAGAACAGAUGCGUUCAGAUGGAUCAUAGAGUUAUUACAGUAGUAAAAGACCACUACCAUCACCUAGUGCAGCUGUCAGCCCAUCACCUCCAUAUCACUGACCACAUCCCUCACUGCCACAUCUCCACAUUUCUUGAACACCCCCCAGGUCAGUGAACCCUCCACCUCCCUGAGCAGCCCAUGCCAAUGCAUCACCACUCUUCCUGAGAAGAAAUUUCUCCUAAUAUCCCACCUGAAGCUCCCCUGGCACAACUUAAAGCCAUUAUCUCUCAUACUGUUGUCAUUAAGACACCACUUCAUGGACAUAUAUCAGUCAUUCUGAGAGUCUUUUUUUUUUUUUUACAUCUCACAUACAAAGUUGAAGGUAUAAAUACUCAGCAUGAGGCCAGCUGCUGAACUUUUAGGAUAGUUAUAUUUCAGUACGUUUAGGAGCUAGAAAUAAAACCAAAGUGAAGCUGGUGUCUGAGUUAGAACAGAAGUUCAGUUUCCCGCCCUGCUUCCCUCUCCUCAGCACGUUAUGAAGCUGUUUGCACAGCCAGCUCCUCGCCGUCAGUAUCUGUGCUGCAGUGUGCCUCCAGCACCUCCAGGCUUACAAUGAUUGUAGUCAGGAAAGAAAACAGACGGCCUUUUAGGUCUGCUGACUGCCCGGAGAAAGUAACUGCAGUACUCUGUCACUGCUGCUGCCACCCAUAAAAAUUAGUGUGCAAAUUGUGAAAUUUGUUACCCCCUUUAUUUGUCUGACCAGCCUAUGUGGUGUGUGAGGAGCCCCUCCCCACAAAGGUGGUGGUAAUAAAGCUGAGAAUUCACUGGGAACUGAAGUAGGCUAGGCACUUGGAGCUGAAGGAAGUGGUUAGCAGAGCUCAGGCUCAGCCUCAUAGCAUUCUCUGCCAAAGCAGCCCAGUGCUGCUCACCACUCGGUCCUCUUGCCCUGCUUUCAGAGGAGACACAGCCCACACAGUGCCAUCAUCCAGCUACUGAGCUGAUCCCAGCUUGCUACAGAGUUCACCCAGAGACCUGCAUGGAGGCCAUGCAGCUCUUUGCCCAAGAGCAGGUGCUUAACACCUGAGCUUCCCUGCGCCCUCUGAGGCACCUAAGAGCUGUUAUCAGCUUUCUUUCUGCACACAGAUGUGGAAACUCUGCUCUGUGCUUUCUUCCUGUUCUCUUCCAACACUGAACAGGUCUCCUGUGCAAUUGUGCGCGCCUCGGAUAACCUUCCCAGGCUGUGAACACAAACUGUGGGUUCUCACAUUAAACCUGUAGCUGAGAAUUUGCUCUACCAAACAGUGUUAUGGAGCUCUUUGUAUCCGCAGUGGUUUCCAUGGAAAUAAAUAGGAGACAUCACUUUUGGAGGACCUACAUCUAAGUGCAUCACUUGGCAGCUGGUGGACUUGGGAAAGGAAACAACAACAGAAUCCUGAGCUCAACUCAAACACUAACUUCAAGUAGUAUAAAUAGUUUUAAAUUGCAAUACAUUAUUUUUGCCUUACCUUCUACUUGUACAGUUUGAGGAUAUUAAAAAAAAAGGAAAUAGAAGGUUAACUUUCUUACAUAUCUCUGACAUAUCCACCUUUAAAACAUAGGAAACAAACAGACACGUAAGGGGCCUCUGGCAGCAGAUGUUCAGACAGGAGCUGGUAUGGGUUGCUCAGUGGCAGUUUUGCCACCACUUCCAGCGUGGAUGUAAUUUUUGCCAGUGGGACCUUAGGAGAAAAACAAUCAAUCCAAUAAUUGAGCUGGGGUGUGGAUUUCCUCACUUCAGCAUACUGCACUUCCACCUGGAUCUUCCGAGGCAUUCUCUGAGUGUCAGGCAUUGCGAGGCACUGAGCCGGGCAGGCGGUCGAGCUGAGAUAGAGCAGCACUUCCAUCAGGUAUCCUCCUUCAGUGCUGCCUUGGGAAUGUCAUUUCUGUUGUCUGUUACAUUUCCACUGCUUUGCUGCUGUUAUGGGAGAGCACUCCGGAAAGGAAUAAACAUCCACAGUUAUACCGUUUCUGUGAUCCAUAGUUUAUGUAUGCUGGAUAGAAUCACAGAAAUCAUUGAGGUUGGAAAAGACCACUGAGGUCGUCUAAUCCAACCAAUUCAAUAAUGAAAUUCUGCUCUGCAGGUUCCAGCUCUUUCUUGCUGCUUAUAACGUUGUCUCCAUGCACAUCUGUCCAUCUGCAUCUCAUUAAUUCUUCCAAAUGAGAAACAGUCACACUGCUAAGAACAGAUUAAUAUAUACAGUGUGCCCAAUGAAUUCAGGCUUGUGAUGUCUGCCAGCUCAGUUUAAUGUAAAUUUCCCAUCUGAAUGCAACAGUGUUUCUCUAGUGUAGUUAUGUUUAUAUUUAAUUAAAACCAUUACCCUUUGGUUCUUUUGGUUCAGUGCCUUAAAUGUAUUGAUCCAGAGGAAGAAGGGUAAGAAAUGAUAAAGAGAGAAACAAAAGUAAUAUUUUAAACCUAAUCUGUGUUUUUGUACCAAAAAAGAUUUGUACAUAUAGUAAAUAAUUCAUCUGUGGUAGCAAGGAUUUUGUGAGAUAGUUUUUCCUUUUUCCAUCUUUAAAACUUCAUUUUAUUCUCCCAGUAUAGAAACUGGCUGAAUCUUACUACUUCUAUUCUUGAUUUUAACCUAACAUGGUAGUGAAAGCAGCCCACUGGGCGCACUCUCACCUUUGUUCCACUGCCAUUGCUAAUGCUGUGGUGUUACAAUUCUAAUUAAAAUUACUACUAUUAAAAAAGAGGUAGAUGAUAGGUAGGAAAAGGC
Molecule: long non-coding RNA, 3552 nt
Filed under: Gallus gallus (chicken)
Lineage: Eukaryota; Metazoa; Chordata; Aves; Galliformes; Phasianidae
Description: lncRNA (ENSGALG00010011786.1)
Source: RNAcentral